UAGUCGGCCCGAUUCUGGCUGAGUGCCGGCAGUGUCGGCCGAGGCCCGGAUCGGCUGAAGCACAGCAAACACAGUCGGCCCGAUCCUGGCUGAGUGCUGCCACUGUCGGCGGAGCUUCAAUCGGCUGAGGCACUGUACCCCCGUUGAAUGGGCCGACACUGACAUGCAGUAGUUGGGCUGGUUACUUUGUUUCUUACUUGGCCCGAUUGUGGUUUGACGGGCUACUGCCGAUGUUCGAAGCAAGUUCGGCUGAAGAACAACAAACACUGUCGGCCCGAUCCUGGCUGAGUGCUGCCACUGUCGGUGGAGUUUCAGUCGGCUGAGGCACUGUACCCCCGUUGACUGGGCCGACACUGACACGCAGUAGUUGGGCUGAAUACUUUGCAUCUUACUUGGCCCGAUUAUGGUUUGAUGGGCUACUGCCGGAGUUCGGCAGACGGAUCUCAUACAGCGUGUGGGCCGAUACUUACAGAACGGACACUGAUCAGUAGCAUUGAUGUUGGCGGCGAAAUUGAAAUAGUAAACGGCAGACGGAAACUAAACGUACAUGGCCCGAUUCUGUAAAGUGACUGUCGGCCCAUUACAUGUGGAAGAGCGGUGGAACAAAUAUUAACUGAAGAUUGAAACCAGAACGGCGCGAAACUGUCUCGUUUUGGACACUGUCUGUGGCAGCACGGACCAGAGACCUGCUUCUUUGGAUGAAGCUUAGUGGUGGCGUUGGAAGACAGGAGAUAUAUGCUUUGGGUUUGCGUCAUCCACUACGUCAGCAAAGAACAGAAUCGGGGAAUGACUACAUGGCCAACUGCAUCUCGUGGAAGUUGUUCUGAAGAUGCGAUGCGUGAAGGAAGGAAGUCCACAAGCAUGUGUGCUUCAGAACUCUUUGACCAACCCCCAACUGAGAGAGCUGAGCGAAGUGGCUAUCAGUAAGUCUAUUUGUGGGGACAGACUUACUCUGACAGAUGACAUCUUACAAACUAUGCUGUAGAUCUCAUAAUGAUCUUGCAAUAUGUAUUCUUUUAUAACUAAAUGCAGUUUGGAGAUAUUCCCCAGCUGCUAGUGAUGAUGCAACAUGUGUAGGCAAUAACUAAGCAGCAACAGAAAGAUAAGGCACUUUGUGUGUG
This is a long non-coding RNA of Sardina pilchardus (European sardine), 1121 nucleotides long. RefSeq lists it as uncharacterized. The record is from RefSeq and is a predicted model, not a curated record. NCBI's taxonomy places the organism in Eukaryota, Metazoa, Chordata, Actinopteri, Clupeiformes, Clupeidae. The transcript is spliced from 4 exons.